Molecule: ribosomal RNA, 509 nt
Filed under: uncultured bacterium
Lineage: Bacteria
Description: bacterial SSU rRNA
Rfam family: Bacterial small subunit ribosomal RNA
Source: RNAcentral
GACGAACGCUGGCGGCGUGCUUAACACAUGCAAGUCGAACGGGAGGAAAAGAGAAGCUUGCUUCUUUUUGAAUCUAGUGGCAAACGGGUGAGUAACACGUAAACAACCUGCCUUCAGGAUGGGGACAACAGACGGAAACGACUGCUAAUACCGAAUGUGUUCCGGAGACCGCAUGAUUUCCGGAAGAAAGGAUGGCCUCUAUUUAUAAGCUAUCGCCUGAAGAGGGGUUUGCGUCUGAUUAGGCAGUUGGUGAGGUAACGGCCCACCAAACCUACGAUCAGUAGCCGGUCUGAGAGGAUGAACGGCCACACUGGAACUGAGACACGGUCCAGACUCCUACGGGAGGCAGCAGUGGGGAAUCUUCCGCAAUGGACGAAAGUCUGACGGAGCAACGCCGCGUGAGUGAUGACGGCCUCGGUUGUAAGCGUCUGUGAUCGGGACGAAUGGCUGGUAUGCUAAGUAUCAUAUCAGAGUGACGGUACCCGAAUAGCAAGCCACGGCUAACUACG